GGGUUGUGAGGUUAAGCGACUAAGCGUACACGGUGGAUGCCCUGGCAGUCAGAGGCGAUGAAGGACGUGCUAAUCUGCGAUAAGCGUCGGUAAGGUGAUAUGAACCGUUAUAACCGGCGAUUUCCGAAUGGGGAAACCCAGUGUGUUUCGACACACUAUCAUUAACUGAAUCCAUAGGUUAAUGAGGCGAACCGGGGGAACUGAAACAUCUAAGUACCCCGAGGAAAAGAAAUCAACCGAGAUUCCCCCAGUAGCGGCGAGCGAACGGGGAGCAGCCCAGAGCCUGAAUCAGUGUGUGUGUUAGUGGAAGCGUCUGGAAAGGCGCGCGAUACAGGGUGACAGCCCCGUACACAAAAAUACACAUAUUGUGAGCUCGAUGAGUAGGGCGGGACACGUGGUAUCCUGUCUGAAUAUGGGGGGACCAUCCUCCAAGGCUAAAUACUCCUGACUGACCGAUAGUGAACCAGUACCGUGAGGGAAAGGCGAAAAGAACCCCGGCGAGGGGAGUGAAAAAGAACCUGAAACCGUGUACGUACAAGCAGUGGGAGCACGCUUAGGCGUGUGACUGCGUACCUUUUGUAUAAUGGGUCAGCGACUUAUAUUCUGUAGCAAGGUUAACCGAAUAGGGGAGCCGAAGGGAAACCGAGUCUUAACUGGGCGUUAAGUUGCAGGGUAUAGACCCGAAACCCGGUGAUCUAGCCAUGGGCAGGUUGAAGGUUGGGUAACACUAACUGGAGGACCGAACCGACUAAUGUUGAAAAAUUAGCGGAUGACUUGUGGCUGGGGGUGAAAGGCCAAUCAAACCGGGAGAUAGCUGGUUCUCCCCGAAAGCUAUUUAGGUAGCGCCUCGUGAACUCAUCUCCGGGGGUAGAGCACUGUUUCGGCAAGGGGGUCAUCCCGACUUACCAACCCGAUGCAAACUGCGAAUACCGGAGAAUGUUAUCACGGGAGACACACGGCGGGUGCUAACGUCCGUCGUGAAGAGGGAAACAACCCAGACCGCCAGCUAAGGUCCCAAAGUCAUGGUUAAGUGGGAAACGAUGUGGGAAGGCCCAGACAGCCAGGAUGUUGGCUUAGAAGCAGCCAUCAUUUAAAGAAAGCGUAAUAGCUCACUGGUCGAGUCGGCCUGCGCGGAAGAUGUAACGGGGCUAAACCAUGCACCGAAGCUGCGGCAGCGACACUAUGUGUUGUUGGGUAGGGGAGCGUUCUGUAAGCCUGCGAAGGUGUACUGUGAGGUAUGCUGGAGGUAUCAGAAGUGCGAAUGCUGACAUAAGUAACGAUAAAGCGGGUGAAAAGCCCGCUCGCCGGAAGACCAAGGGUUCCUGUCCAACGUUAAUCGGGGCAGGGUGAGUCGACCCCUAAGGCGAGGCCGAAAGGCGUAGUCGAUGGGAAACAGGUUAAUAUUCCUGUACUUGGUGUUACUGCGAAGGGGGGACGGAGAAGGCUAUGUUGGCCGGGCGACGGUUGUCCCGGUUUAAGCGUGUAGGCUGGUUUUCCAGGCAAAUCCGGAAAAUCAAGGCUGAGGCGUGAUGACGAGGCACUACGGUGCUGAAGCAACAAAUGCCCUGCUUCCAGGAAAAGCCUCUAAGCAUCAGGUAACAUCAAAUCGUACCCCAAACCGACACAGGUGGUCAGGUAGAGAAUACCAAGGCGCUUGAGAGAACUCGGGUGAAGGAACUAGGCAAAAUGGUGCCGUAACUUCGGGAGAAGGCACGCUGAUAUGUAGGUGAAGCGACUUGCUCGUGGAGCUGAAAUCAGUCGAAGAUACCAGCUGGCUGCAACUGUUUAUUAAAAACACAGCACUGUGCAAACACGAAAGUGGACGUAUACGGUGUGACGCCUGCCCGGUGCCGGAAGGUUAAUUGAUGGGGUCAGCGCAAGCGAAGCUCUUGAUCGAAGCCCCGGUAAACGGCGGCCGUAACUAUAACGGUCCUAAGGUAGCGAAAUUCCUUGUCGGGUAAGUUCCGACCUGCACGAAUGGCGUAAUGAUGGCCAGGCUGUCUCCACCCGAGACUCAGUGAAAUUGAACUCGCUGUGAAGAUGCAGUGUACCCGCGGCAAGACGGAAAGACCCCGUGAACCUUUACUAUAGCUUGACACUGAACAUUGAGCCUUGAUGUGUAGGAUAGGUGGGAGGCUUAGAAGUGUGGACGCCAGUCUGCAUGGAGCCGACCUUGAAAUACCACCCUUUAAUGUUUGAUGUUCUAACGUUGACCCGUAAUCCGGGUUGCGGACAGUGUCUGGUGGGUAGUUUGACUGGGGCGGUCUCCUCCUAAAGAGUAACGGAGGAGCACGAAGGUUGGCUAAUCCUGGUCGGACAUCAGGAGGUUAGUGCAAUGGCAUAAGCCAGCUUGACUGCGAGCGUGACGGCGCGAGCAGGUGCGAAAGCAGGUCAUAGUGAUCCGGUGGUUCUGAAUGGAAGGGCCAUCGCUCAACGGAUAAAAGGUACUCCGGGGAUAACAGGCUGAUACCGCCCAAGAGUUCAUAUCGACGGCGGUGUUUGGCACCUCGAUGUCGGCUCAUCACAUCCUGGGGCUGAAGUAGGUCCCAAGGGUAUGGCUGUUCGCCAUUUAAAGUGGUACGCGAGCUGGGUUUAGAACGUCGUGAGACAGUUCGGUCCCUAUCUGCCGUGGGCGCUGGAGAACUGAGGGGGGCUGCUCCUAGUACGAGAGGACCGGAGUGGACGCAUCACUGGUGUUCGGGUUGUCAUGCCAAUGGCACUGCCCGGUAGCUAAAUGCGGAAGAGAUAAGUGCUGAAAGCAUCUAAGCACGAAACUUGCCCCGAGAUGAGUUCUCCCUGACCCUUUAAGGGUCCUGAAGGAACGUUGAAGACGACGACGUUGAUAGGCCGGGUGUGUAAGCGCAGCGAUGCGUUGAGCUAACCGGUACUAAUGAACCGUGAGGCUUAACCUUACAACGCCGAAGCUGUU
Molecule: ribosomal RNA, 2929 nt
Filed under: Escherichia coli
Lineage: Bacteria; Pseudomonadati; Pseudomonadota; Gammaproteobacteria; Enterobacterales; Enterobacteriaceae
Description: 23S ribosomal RNA
Rfam family: Bacterial large subunit ribosomal RNA
Source: RNAcentral